RNAcentral lists this ribosomal RNA (257 nucleotides) under uncultured bacterium. RNAcentral describes it as "partial 16S ribosomal RNA". It matches the Rfam family "Bacterial small subunit ribosomal RNA", at positions 29 to 306 of the family's 1533-position model. The record is from RNAcentral.
AACGAACGCUGGCGGCAGGCUUAACACAUGCAAGUCGAACGGGCGUAGCAAUACGUCAGUGGCGGACGGGUGAGUAACACGUGGGAAUAUGCCUUUCGGUUCGGAACAACUCGGGGAAACUCGUGCUAAUUCCGGAUACGCCCUUACCGGGGAAAGGAAUUUAUCGCCGAAGGAUUAGCCCGCCGUUGGAUUAGCUAGUUGGUGAGGUAAUGGCCCACCCAAGGCGACGAUCCAUAGCUGGUUUGAGAGAACGACCA